Molecule: ribosomal RNA, 253 nt
Filed under: uncultured bacterium
Lineage: Bacteria
Description: partial 16S ribosomal RNA
Rfam family: Bacterial small subunit ribosomal RNA
Source: RNAcentral
CACGUAGGGCGCAAGCGUUGUCCGGAAUUAUUGGGCGUAAAGAGCUCGUAGGUGGUUUGUUACGUCUGCUGUGAAAACCUAGGGCUUAACCCUGGGCUUGCAGUGGAUACGGGCAGACUAGAGGUAGGUAGGGGAGAAUGGAAUUCCUGGUGUAGCGGUGAAAUGCGCAGAUAUCAGGAGGAACACCGGUGGCGAAGGCGGUGGUCUGGGCCGGAACUGACGCUGAGGAGCGAAAGCGUGGGGAGCGAACAGG